UCUUGGUCAUUUAGAGGAAGUAAAAGUCGUAACAAGGUUUCCGUAGGUGAACCUGCGGAAGGAUCAUUAAUGAAUUGUUAGGACGCUCUUUUUAGAGGUCCGACCCCUUCAUUUCCUUACACUGUGCACACACUUCUUUUUCACACAUUUUUAACACAUCAGUAUAAGAAUGUAAAUAGUCUCUUAAUUGAGCAUAAAAUAAAUAAAACUUUCAGCAACGGAUCUCUUGGCUCUCGCAUCGAUGAAGAACGCAGCGAAUUGCGAUAAGUAAUGUGAAUUGCAGAAUUCAGUGAAUCAUCGAAUCUUUGAACGCACCUUGCACUCUUUGGUAUUCCGAAGAGUAUGUCUGUUUGAGUGUCAUGAAACUCUCAACCCCCCUGUUUUGUAAUGAAACGGGCGUGGGCUUGGUUUAUGGCUGUCUGUCGGCGUAAUUGCCGGCUCAGCUGAAAUACACGAGCAACCCAUUUUGAAAUAGACGGUUUGACUCGGCGUAAUAAUUAUUACCGCUGAGGACGUCUUCUUUAAAUAUCAGUGGUGCUUCAAAUGCGCUUUUGAUUAAGCAUUUUCAACUUUAGACCUCAAAUCAGUCAGGACUACCCGCUGAACUUAAGCAUAUCAAUAAGCGGAGGAA
RNAcentral lists this ribosomal RNA (631 nucleotides) under Occultifur sp. TMS-2011. RNAcentral's name for it is "eukaryotic LSU rRNA". The stretch from base 207 to 360 matches the Rfam family "5.8S ribosomal RNA". The record is from RNAcentral. Lineage: Eukaryota; Fungi; Basidiomycota; Cystobasidiomycetes; Cystobasidiales; Microsporomycetaceae.